This 932-nucleotide ribosomal RNA is filed under the name Campylobacter coli. Its description in RNAcentral is "partial 23S ribosomal RNA". It matches the Rfam family "Bacterial large subunit ribosomal RNA", at positions 1 to 947 of the family's 2925-position model. Lineage: Bacteria; Pseudomonadati; Campylobacterota; Epsilonproteobacteria; Campylobacterales; Campylobacteraceae. The record is from RNAcentral.
AAAAAAGGUAAGCUACUAAGAGCGAAUGGUGGAUGCCUUGACUGGUAAAGGCGAUGAAGGACGUACUAGACUGCGAUAAGCUACGGGGAGCUGUCAAGAAGCUUUGAUCCGUAGAUUUCCGAAUGGGGCAACCCAAUGUAUAGAGAUAUACAUUACCUAUAUAGGAGCGAACGAGGGGAAUUGAAACAUCUUAGUACCCUCAGGAAAAGAAAUCAAUAGAGAUUGCGUCAGUAGCGGCGAGCGAAAGCGUAAGAGGGCAAACCCAGUGCUUGCACUGGGGGUUGUAGGACUGCAAUGUGCAAGAGGUGAGUUUAGCAGAACAUUCUGGAAAGUAUAGCCAUAGAGGGUGAUAGUCCCGUAUGCGAAAAACAAACCUUAGCUAGCAGUAUCCUGAGUAGGGCGGGACACGAGAAAUCCUGUCUGAAGCUGGGUCGACCACGAUCCAACCCUAAAUACUAAUACCAGAUCGAUAGUGCACAAGUACCGUGAGGGAAAGGUGAAAAGAACUGAGGUGAUCAGAGUGAAAUAGAACCUGAAACCAUUUGCUUACAAUCAUUCAGAGCACUAUGUAGCAAUACAGUGUGAUGGACUGCCUUUUGCAUAAUGAGCCUGCGAGUUGUGGUGUCUGGCAAGGUUAAGCAAACGCGAAGCCGUAGCGAAAGCGAGUCUGAAUAGGGCGCUUAGUCAGAUGCUGCAGACCCGAAACGAAGUGAUCUAUCCAUGAGCAAGUUGAAGCUAGUGUAAGAACUAGUGGAGGACUGAACCCAUAGGCGUUGAAAAGCCCCGGGAUGACUUGUGGAUAGGGGUGAAAGGCCAAUCAAACUUCGUGAUAGCUGGUUCUCUCCGAAAUAUAUUUAGGUAUAGCGUUGUGUCGUAAUAUAAGGGGGUAGAGCACUGAAUGGGCUAGGGCAUACACCAAUGUACCAAACCCU